RNAcentral lists this ribosomal RNA (301 nucleotides) under uncultured bacterium. RNAcentral describes it as "partial 16S ribosomal RNA". It matches the Rfam family "Bacterial small subunit ribosomal RNA", at positions 509 to 809 of the family's 1533-position model. The record is from RNAcentral.
CAGCAGCCGCGGUAAUACGGAGGGUGCAAGCGUUAAUCGGAAUUACUGGGCGUAAAGCGCACGCAGGCGGUUUGUUAAGUCAGAUGUGAAAUCCCCGAGCUUAACUUGGGAACUGCAUUUGAAACUGGCAAGCUAGAGUCUUGUAGAGGGGGGUAGAAUUCCAGGUGUAGCGGUGAAAUGCGUAGAGAUCUGGAGGAAUACCGGUGGCGAAGGCGGCCCCCUGGACAAAGACUGACGCUCAGGUGCGAAAGCGUGGGGAGCAAACAGGAUUAGAUACCCGAGUAGUCCCUGUCUCUUAUAA